GCUUACACAUGCAAGUCGAACGAAGUCUUCGGACUUAGUGGCGGACGGGUGAGUAACACGUGAGAAUCUGCCUUCGGGUCUGGGAUAACAGUUGGAAACGACUGCUAAUACCGGAUGUGCCCUCGGGUGAAAGAUUAAUUGCCAGAAGAUGAGCUCGCGUCUGAUUAGCUAGUUGGUGGGGUAAAAGCCUACCAAGGCGACGAUCAGUAGCUGGUCUGAGAGGAUGAGCAGCCACACUGGGACUGAGACACGGCCCAGACUCCUACGGGAGGCAGCAGUGGGGAAUUUUCCGCAAUGGGCGAAAGCCUGACGGAGCAAGACCGCGUGAGGGAGGAAGGCCUUUGGGUUGUAAACCUCUUUUGUCAGGGAAGAAAAAAAUGACGGUACCUGACGAAUCAGCCUCGGCUAACUCCGUGCCAGCAGCCGCGGUAAUACGGAGGAGGCAAGCGUUAUCCGGAAUCAUUGGGCGUAAAGCGUCCGUAGGUGGCCAAGUAAGUCUGCUGUCAAAGACCACAGCUUAACUGUGGAAAGGCAGUGGAAACUGCGGGGCUAGAGUACGGUAGGGGUAGAGGGAAUUCCAGGUGUAGCGGUGAAAUGCGUAGAGCUCUGGAAGAACACCGGUGGCGAAAGCGCUCUACUGGGCCGUAACUGACACUGAGGGACGAAAGCUAGGGGAGCGAAAGGGAUUAGAUACCCCUGUAGUCCUAGCCGUAAACGAUGGAUACUAGGUGUAGCACGUAUCGACCCGUGCUGUAUCGGAGCCAACGCGUUAAGUAUCCCGCCUGGGGAGUACGCGCGCAAGCGUGAAACUCAAAGGAAUUGACGG
This 826-nucleotide ribosomal RNA is filed under the name uncultured bacterium. RNAcentral's name for it is "bacterial SSU rRNA". It matches the Rfam family "Bacterial small subunit ribosomal RNA", at positions 46 to 916 of the family's 1533-position model. The record is from RNAcentral.